Non-coding RNA from Euryarchaeota archaeon RBG_13_31_8, 165 nucleotides. The record is from Rfam. NCBI's taxonomy places the organism in Archaea, Methanobacteriati, Methanobacteriota.
AAUUUUGUAAGAAAUGGUCGGAAGGAAGCGUGGAGCAAAGUAAGGAGACGAUGAACAAGAACCGCAUACAAGGCUUAGCCUUAAGCCGAGUCAGCACAAGAUGACGAUGGCGUGUGAUUUAAGAGGCAGGGUAAAUGCGGCGUUUGUCUUACGAAAGUUAAUGUU